Molecule: ribosomal RNA, 486 nt
Filed under: uncultured bacterium
Lineage: Bacteria
Description: bacterial SSU rRNA
Rfam family: Bacterial small subunit ribosomal RNA
Source: RNAcentral
GAUGAACGCUAGCGGCAGGCUUAACACAUGCAAGUCGAGGGGCAACACGGGUAGCAAUACCUGGUGGCGACCGGCGCAAGGGUGCGUAACGCGUGAGCAACAUGCCCUAUACAGGGGGAUAAUCCAGGGAAACUUGGUCUAAUAUCCCAUAGUAUUUAGAGGUGGCAUCACCACUAAAUUAAAGCUUCGGUGGUAUAGGAUUGGCUCGCGUGACAUUAGCUGGAUGGUGGGGUAACGGCUCACCAUGGCGAUGAUGUCUAGGGGUUCUGAGAGGAAGACCCCCCACACUGGGACUGAGACACGGCCCAGACUCCUACGGGAGGCAGCAGUGAGGAAUAUUGGACAAUGGAUGGAAAUCUGAUCCAGCCAUGCCGCGUGCAGGAAGACGGCCCUAUGGGUUGUAAACUGCUUUUAUAUGGGAGCAAUAAGGUUUACGCGUAGACCGAUGAGAGUACCAUAUGAAUAAGCAUCGGCUAACUCCGUGCC